Molecule: transfer RNA, 74 nt
Filed under: Anguilla anguilla (European eel)
Lineage: Eukaryota; Metazoa; Chordata; Actinopteri; Anguilliformes; Anguillidae
Description: tRNA-OTHER
Source: RNAcentral
GGCUAGGGAGCCCAGGUGGUGAGGGCACAUGGCUGGCAACCCUGAGGUUGCAGGUUCAAUUCCUAGGUGUGUCA